Molecule: ribosomal RNA, 498 nt
Filed under: Spongiobacter sp.
Lineage: Bacteria; Pseudomonadati; Pseudomonadota; Gammaproteobacteria
Description: bacterial SSU rRNA
Rfam family: Bacterial small subunit ribosomal RNA
Source: RNAcentral
GAUGCACCCAUGCCGCGUGUGUGAAGAAGGCUCUAGGGUUGUAAAGCACUUUCAGCGAGGAGGAAAGGGUGUAGGUUAAUACCCUGCAUCUGUGACGUUACUCGCAGAAGAAGCACCGGCUAACUCCGUGCCAGCAGCCGCGGUAAUACGGAGGGUGCGAGCGUUAAUCGGAAUUACUGGGCGUAAAGCGUGCGUAGGCGGCUUGUUAAGUUGGAUGUGAAAGCCCCGGGCUCAACCUGGGAACUGCACCCAAAACUGGCAAGCUAGAGUGCGGAAGAGGAGUGUGGAAUUUCCUGUGUAGCGGUGAAAUGCGUAGAUAUAGGAAGGAACACCAGUGGCGAAGGCGACACUCUGGUCUGACACUGACGCUGAGGUACGAAAGCGUGGGGAGCAAACAGGAUUAGAUACCCUGGUAGUCCACGCCGUAAACGAUGUCUACUAGUCGUCGGGAAUCUUGCAUUCUUGGUGACGCAGCUAACGCGAUAAGUAGACCGCCUG